AUGCGGCGGUGUCGGGGCGCGGGGCUGGCGGCGCUGGCCGCGCUGCUGCUCGUGGCUUCAGGCAGAGCCCAGGUGCAGCAGGACCCAUUCCUGGAGACCACCGAGGGCACCAGCAUCAACGUCAACUGCUCACACCCCAGCAAAGUGAGCGGAGAUUACAUCCAUUUCUACCGUCAUCUCCCUGGCCAAAGCCCCGAAUUCCUGGCACUCGCUGCUAGAGGGUCCAAGGAUGUUCCGGCCAUCGCAGGAAAGCUGUGGGUGUCGGAGGACGGGCGUUGGAGCGCGCUGUGGCUCGGGCGGCCCCGGCGCGGGGACGCGGCCGUGUAUUACUGCGCGCUGGGCCACGGGCAGAGGAGCCGGGGCUGCGGCCGGGUUUCUCCAAACACCCUUGGAUGUGAGUUCAGCAUCUGCCUCAAACAGUAG
Non-coding RNA from Oenanthe melanoleuca, 423 nucleotides. Lineage: Eukaryota; Metazoa; Chordata; Aves; Passeriformes; Muscicapidae. The record is from the annotation of a RefSeq genome assembly.